UUACGGUCAAAUCACGCUGAAAACACCGGUUCUCGUUCUAUCACCGAAGUUAAGCAUCGUAGAGCCAGGUCAGUAGUUAGAUGGGGGACCGCUUGGGAACACCUGGUACUGUAAG
Molecule: ribosomal RNA, 115 nt
Filed under: Acanthosepion pharaonis
Lineage: Eukaryota; Metazoa; Mollusca; Cephalopoda; Sepiida; Sepiidae
Source: RNAcentral